Molecule: ribosomal RNA, 492 nt
Filed under: uncultured bacterium
Lineage: Bacteria
Description: partial 16S ribosomal RNA
Rfam family: Bacterial small subunit ribosomal RNA
Source: RNAcentral
AGUGAACGCUGGCGGUAGGCCUAACACAUGCAAGUCGAACGGCAGCACAGUAAGAGCUUGCUCUUACGGGUGGCGAGUGGCGGACGGGUGAGGAAUACAUCGGAAUCUACUUUUUCGUGGGGGAUAACGUAGGGAAACUUACGCUAAUACCGCAUACGACCUACGGGUGAAAGCAGUGGAUCUUCGGACCUUGCGCGAUUGAAUGAGCCGAUGUCGGAUUAGCUAGUUGGCGGGGUAAAGGCCCACCAAGGCGACGAUCCGUAGCUGGUCUGAGAGGAUGAUCAGCCACACUGGAACUGAGACACGGUCCAGACUCCUACGGGAGGCAGCAGUGGGGAAUAUUGGACAAUGGGCGCAAGCCUGAUCCAGCCAUACCGCGUGGGUGAAGAGGGCCUUCGGGUUGUAAAGCCCUUUUGUUGGGAAAGAAAAGCAGCAGGUUAAUACCCCGCUGUUCUGACGGUACCCAAAGAAUAAGCACCGGCUAACUUCGUG